UAACUACUGGAAACGGUAGCUAAUACCGCAUAACGUCGCAAGACCAAAGAGGGGGACCUUCGGGCCUCUUGCCAUCGGAUGUGCCCAGAUGGGAUUAGCUAGUAGGUGGGGUAACGGCUCACCUAGGCGACGAUCCCUAGCUGGUCUGAGAGGAUGACCAGCCACACUGGAACUGAGACACGGUCCAGACUCCUACGGGAGGCAGCAGUGGGGAAUAUUGCACAAUGGGCGCAAGCCUGAUGCAGCCAUGCCGCGUGUAUGAAGAAGGCCUUCGGGUUGUAAAGUACUUUCAGCGGGGAGGAAGGGAGUAAAGUUAAUACCUUUGCUCAUUGACGUUACCCGCAGAAGAAGCACCGGCUAACUCCGUGCCAGCAGCCGCGGUAAUACGGAGGGUGCAAGCGUUAAUCGGAAUUACUGGGCGUAAAGCGCACGCAGGCGGUUUGUUAAGUCAGAUGUGAAAUCCCCGGGCUCAACCUGGGAACUGCAUCUGAUACUGGCAAGCUUGAGUCUCGUAGAGGGGGGUAGAAUUCCAGGUGUAGCGGUGAAAUGCGUAGAGAUCUGGAGGAAUACCGGUGGCGAAGGCGGCCCCCUGGACGAAGACUGACGCUCAGGUGCGAAAGCGUGGGGAGCAAACAGGAUU
RNAcentral lists this ribosomal RNA (640 nucleotides) under Shigella flexneri. RNAcentral's name for it is "bacterial SSU rRNA". It matches the Rfam family "Bacterial small subunit ribosomal RNA", at positions 144 to 779 of the family's 1533-position model. Lineage: Bacteria; Pseudomonadati; Pseudomonadota; Gammaproteobacteria; Enterobacterales; Enterobacteriaceae. The record is from RNAcentral.